GAAGAGAUGAUGACACCAACAAUGUGUCCCUCUGUCUGAAAGACAUAAUUGCUUGACGGAAGAACAGUCUGUUCGACUCCUGGGUGUGAUGGAAGUGAUGCUGAGGCUGUGCUGGAGGUUGCACCUUUUCCUGUCAGAUAUGGACUUUGCUACCAUGAUUCGAGGCUUGUUUAUCACUGGAUUACUUCAGACUGUUCUGCUUGGGUUUGUCAGCUGAGAAGCAUAGAGACAUCAGAUGUUAAAGUUUGAAGAAAAUUCUAAGCAACAUAAGGAAGGGUGCAACCUGUUGUUUAGAUGUGUCAACAUAUGGCAUUGAAAUAUCUUCAAGGACAUGGUCACUGUCUCCAAAUAGUGGGCUGCAUAAGACUACAAAGUAGUGGAUUAGCAUGAGGGGAAGAUGGUUACUACUUGUGAGUAAGCCUUUCUUUUUGUUCCACAAUAUAUUUAUGGUGCUAUAAAUAUAGCUAAAUAAGAGCUGUGUCCCCUAUUUUAAGUCACAACAUGCACUUAUGGAUCUAUGCCCUUGUUGAUCCUUAUGAAGGAAAAAUGUUUCUUUGUAAACAACGUGGCUACUGUGAUGAAUUGUUAGGAUUUAUAUAAAUACAUAUGUAAUGAAAAGAGAAUGUUAAAAUUCAAAUAAAUGUAUUUUCAUUGUUUCUAAUAUGUAAUUUUAACUUUUUUACCAUGCUGGAAAGAAUGAGAGUUUUUAGAUUCACGUUAUGAUUAAACGUUAGCAUUAUUUCUGUUUUCUAUGGUAAAUAAAAUCAAAUAAAGCAAGUUCAAGAACUCAGGAGUUUUCUUCACAAAACUUUUGACCAUCAGGGUUUCUCUCUUUGUUCUUCCUCCUGUCAGUAAAAUGCAGCCUGAAGAUUCUGGUCAUUAUGGCCAGUGUACCUCUGGUGAGGGUGACCAUGAUGACACCACAGACUUUUGUGCUUAUGUUAUCGCCUCUAGACCUGAAAUGAGAUACAUCUCAGAACCCCCUGAAAUACAGUACAUACAGACUUGGCUAAUGCUGCACUGUGGAGACCUCCAUUUGCCUGACAGUAAUUCCUGGAGGGUGAAGAGUGAUGAUUUUCUACCUAAAACCUAUGGAGAUCAGUACGUGACUUCAGAGGUGUCUGCAAAAGGAAGCUUGAAAGAAGUUUAUAUGUUACACUGUACUUUAUGUGAAAUUUGGCAUUUAUAGGUCAAAACCAGUAAUGCCACCAGUGUACAACUGUAAAAUGGCUUAUGCUUUGUCUCUAAGUGGUAAUUUAAGACACAGGGUUGGCAAUGCCUUUUUUCAAAAAAGCUUUUUUGAUUACCAUGAAAACCUGCUGCAAUUUUGCUGUUAUUGAGACAAUAGCCAGAUUAAAUGUUGAUUGUAAACUUAUUUCCCUCUCUGUGUUACUGCACUAAAUGCAUCUGGUGAAAUGAAAUUAAAUGGUUUUGUAAC
Molecule: long non-coding RNA, 1438 nt
Filed under: Cairina moschata (Muscovy duck)
Lineage: Eukaryota; Metazoa; Chordata; Aves; Anseriformes; Anatidae
Description: domestica (muscovy Duck (domestic type)) lncRNA (ENSCMMG00000000136.1)
Source: RNAcentral